Molecule: ribosomal RNA, 274 nt
Filed under: uncultured soil bacterium
Lineage: Bacteria
Description: partial 16S ribosomal RNA
Rfam family: Bacterial small subunit ribosomal RNA
Source: RNAcentral
AGAAUCAACGCUGGCGGCGUGCCUCAGACAUGCAAGUCGAACGCGAAAGUUCCCUUCGGGGAUGAGUAGAGUGGCGCACGGGUGAGUAACACGUAGGUAAUCUACCUUUGGAUGGGGAAUAACAACCGGAAACGGUUGCUAAUACCGCAUAAUGCAGCGGCACCUAAUGGUGACAGUUGUUAAAGCGGGGGAUCGAAAGACCUCGCGUCUGAAGAGGAGCCUGCGGCGGAUUAGCUAGUUGGUAGGGUAACGGCUACCAAGGCUACGAUCCGUA